GUUUCCAAAAAGGAGCCUGAGGCAUGUGAUGUUUCAGUGUGUUUUCUGUUGAUUCUUGCUUGCUCCUUGCCCUUGGGUCCGGUCCAGGGCAGGAGUGCUGGGUGCUUCCGCUGACACGGGGGUCAUAAAGAACCUUGCAUGUAAAUGGGACUGUACCCUCUAUGCAGCAGUGGCUUUUGCUUUGGUGUAUUUUCUCUGCAUUGGUAACGGAAAGGAUCCACCUGCUUACUGCCCUGGGAGUCAAUGUAUCUGUGGGAUUUCUUAACUCCUCAGUAAAGGUCUUCAGUGAGAUACCUCAGGAGUCGAGAUACAGCAUCCCCCAAAGUCUGUAAAGCUUGUUGGAACAUACCAUCUAUCAAAGUGAAGGACUUGAAACCUGCUUUAGUCUGUACAGAGGUUCUCAUUCAGAAAGCAGCUAGAGGGAACAGAAGAUAAAAGGCUGCCCAGCUUUGAGAAAGAUUAUCAGCAACGUACUACCGAAGUGCACAUAUUCGCCAUCUAUCGUCUGUCUUUAAGGGAACUAUGACUUAGUAACAUGGACAAACUUGAGAGGAGAAGGCAGCACGUUUGCUGCCAACAUCCAGAACAAGCAGCAUGAUGGGGUACUUGCACCUGAACACCGGCAAAAGCAGGUCUCUGCAGCUGACUACAUCCGUGCAAAAUCCAAGCGACAUUUCCGUUGCUGACACAAGGGAGUGCAAUGCCCCCCGCGGCCCUGCUAAGGGCAAGGAACAGGGCCAACGGCACUUUAUGGCUAGUCGGGGUGAAACGACAAGGACUACGAAGCCGCUGCCUCUAGGAACGAACGGCCCCCUCUGCCCAGCACCGGGCUAAAACAUAGGACAUGAACCCCACCUCGAGCCCAGAUAGCACCCCCCACUGUCCGCGCCGCCGCC
Molecule: long non-coding RNA, 896 nt
Organism: Dryobates pubescens (Downy woodpecker)
Lineage: Eukaryota; Metazoa; Chordata; Aves; Piciformes; Picidae
Exons: 3
Source: RefSeq, a predicted model, not a curated record